This 446-nucleotide ribosomal RNA is filed under the name uncultured bacterium. RNAcentral's name for it is "bacterial SSU rRNA". It matches the Rfam family "Bacterial small subunit ribosomal RNA", at positions 28 to 485 of the family's 1533-position model. The record is from RNAcentral.
GACGAACGCUGGCGGCGUGCUUAACACAUGCAAGUCACGGGGGCUCGCAAGAGCAACCGGCGAACGGGUGCGUAACACGUGAGCAACCUGCCGGUCUGAGGGGGAUAGCCGGCCCAACGGCCGGGUAAUACCGCAUACGUUCUCGAGGGGGAGUCCUCUUGAGAAGAAACCUCCGGGGCAGAUCGAGGGGCUCGCGGCCUAUCAGCUAGUUGGUGAGGUAACGGCUCACCAAGGCANCGACGGGUAGCUGGUCUGAGAGGAUGGCCAGCCACAUUGGGACUGAGAGACGGCCCAGACUCCUACGGGAGGCAGCAGUGGGGAAUCUUGCGCAAUGGCCGAAAGGCUGACGCAGCGACGCCGCGUGUGGGAUGAAGCAUUUUCGGUGUGUAAACCACUGUUGCCCGGGACGAACAUCCUCUUUCGAGAGGACUGACGGUACCGGGUGA